GGGGGGAUAUUGCACAAUGGGCGAAAGCCUGAUGCAGCGACGCCGCGUGGGGGAUGAAGGCUUUCGGGUUGUAAACCUCUUUCGCUAUCGAACAAGGCCCGCUUAGGGUGGGUUGAGGGUAGGUGGAGAAGAAGCGCCGGCUAACUACGUGCCAGCAGCCGCGGUAAUACGUAGGGCGCGAGCGUUGUCCGGAAUUAUUGGGCGUAAAGGGCUUGUAGGCGGCUUGUUGCGCCUGCUGUGAAAACGCGGGGCUUAACUUCGCGCGUGCAGUGGGUACGGGCAGGCUUGAGUGGGGUAGGGGUGACUGGAAUUCCAGGUGUGGCGGUGGAAUGCGCAGAUAUCUGGAGGAGCACCGAUGGCGAAGGCAGGUCACUGGGCCAUUACUGACGCUGAGGAGCGAAAGCAUGGGUAGCGAACAGG
Molecule: ribosomal RNA, 420 nt
Filed under: bacterium
Lineage: Bacteria
Description: partial 16S ribosomal RNA
Rfam family: Bacterial small subunit ribosomal RNA
Source: RNAcentral